AAUCCUAAAACAAAACAAAAUCAUACGUGUUUCUUGAUGGUGGGAUUUUCUUAUUGAUCAUUUCAGGUCAUCUGAAGACUGAAUAUUCACAGAAACAAAAAAGCAAAGAAAAGUUUCCUGCCUGCUGACUUUACCUGCUGACAGAUUCCAAGGAUGAUGAUUGUACACUGCCUUCCAGAGAAUCCUGCAAGGUAUUCAAAGCCUACGGAUGCUGCUGUAAAUCGGCAGCAAACAGGAGUACCAGGACACCUGCCAGUCAGGAUCAGCAUGAGAGGAUCAGUUAUUGACUCCAAUGAAACCAGGAUUUUCAUCUACUGUCCCAAAGUUUAA
RNAcentral lists this long non-coding RNA (330 nucleotides) under Cyanistes caeruleus (blue tit). RNAcentral's name for it is "lncRNA (ENSCCEG00000015759.1)". Lineage: Eukaryota; Metazoa; Chordata; Aves; Passeriformes; Paridae. The record is from RNAcentral.